AGUGAACGCUGGCGGUAUGCCUAACACAUGCAAGUCGAACGGCAGCACAGGAGAGCUUGCUCUCUGGGUGGCGAGUGGCGGACGUGUGAGGAAUACAUCGGAAUCUGCUCAGUCGUGGGGGAUAACGUAGGGAAACUUACGCUAAUACCGCAUACGACCUUCGGGGGAAAGAGGGGGAUCGCAAGACCUCUCGCGAUUGGAUGAGCCGUUGUCGGAUUAGCUAGUUGGCGGGGUAAUGGCCCACCAAGGCGACGAUCCGUAGCUGGUCUGAGAGGAUGAUCAGCCACACUGGAACUGAGACACGGUCCAGACUCCUACGGGAGGCAGCAGUGGGGAAUAUUGGACAAUGGGCGCAAGCCUGAUCCAGCCAUACCGCGUGGGUGAAGAAGGCCUUCGGGUUGUAAAGCCCUUUUGUUGGGAAAGAAAUCUUUCAGGCUAAUACCCUGGGAGGAUGACGGUACCCAAAGAAUAAGCACCGGCUAACUUCGUG
RNAcentral lists this ribosomal RNA (490 nucleotides) under uncultured bacterium. RNAcentral's name for it is "partial 16S ribosomal RNA". It matches the Rfam family "Bacterial small subunit ribosomal RNA", at positions 29 to 507 of the family's 1533-position model. The record is from RNAcentral.